UGAACUAUGUAUCUUCUCAAACCGCAAAUUGGUUUGCGGGGAGAUUGCGGUGAUUAUGCGGUUUUAUUUACCCACAGUACUUCCCUCUCGCUCAAGGAACGGCUUUCUUUUCCCAGUUCACAUAUCGAAAGAUAAGCCCAAAUUUACGGCGCAGUACACUCCUCUCUUUGAGUGACGGGAGUUUUAUUCAAUAUGUGCUUUCAAAAUAGAUAUCCUACAUGUUAACCCCAGUCACCACCGUCGUAUAUAUUGCGCAAGGCGCCUGGUCAGAACUAAAAACGCCCGACCAGCCAAAGACAGGAAAAAGAGAGAGAAAUGAAGGUAUCAUAACGAAUUUGUCGUAUAGUUAAGUGAGACGUUUGGACGGGCGCUGGAAAGUCAAAAUACGCGAUGGCGAAAAAGAGAUGGCCAUGACAAUGGAAUGACGAUGACUCUGAUGAGAUAUAAAAAGAUCACAAAAGACAAAAGUAAAAAUUUAAAAAAAAAAAUAACAAAUACGAGGCUCCAAAACU
This 512-nucleotide small RNA is filed under the name Histoplasma ohiense. Its description in RNAcentral is "hypothetical lncRNA". Lineage: Eukaryota; Fungi; Ascomycota; Eurotiomycetes; Onygenales; Ajellomycetaceae. The record is from RNAcentral.